AUUGAACGCUGGCGGCAUGCCUUACACAUGCAAGUCGAACGGCAGCACGGGUGCUUGCACCUGGUGGCGAGUGGCGAACGGGUGAGUAAUACAUCGGAACGUACCUUAUCGUGGGGGAUAACGCAGCGAAAGCUGUGCUAAUACCGCAUACGCCCUGAGGGGGAAAGCGGGGGAUCGCAAGACCUCGCGCGAUUAGAGCGGCCGAUGCCUGAUUAGCUAGUUGGUGGUAAAAGCCCACCAAGGCGACGAUCAGUAGCUGGUCUGAGAGGACGAUCAGCCACACUGGGACUGAGACACGGCCCAGACUCCUACGGGAGGCAGCAGUGGGGAAUUUUGGACAAUGGGGGCAACCCUGAUCCAGCAAUGCCGCGUGAGUGAAGAAGGCCUUCGGGUUGUAAAGCUCUUUUGUCAGGGAAGAAACACCGGCUCCAACACAGUCCGGGAAUGACGGUACCUGAAGAAUAAGCACCGGCUAACUACGUGCCAGCCGCCGCCGUAA
This 499-nucleotide ribosomal RNA is filed under the name uncultured bacterium. RNAcentral's name for it is "partial 16S ribosomal RNA". It matches the Rfam family "Bacterial small subunit ribosomal RNA", at positions 29 to 523 of the family's 1533-position model. The record is from RNAcentral.